RNAcentral lists this long non-coding RNA (217 nucleotides) under Capsicum annuum. Its description in RNAcentral is "long non-coding RNA (CANN_LNC019866)". Lineage: Eukaryota; Viridiplantae; Streptophyta; Magnoliopsida; Solanales; Solanaceae. The record is from RNAcentral.
CCUCAUCGUCCAUGCGUUAGCUUGUGGUAAUAUACUCUUAGAGUUAAAGACUAGAAAAUUAUUUUGUUUAGUGUCAAAGAGACUUAGUCUCAUUUUUUACUUCCAAAGUGAGUAAAGUUUAAAUCAUGUAUAUAAUUUUCCUAAUUUUGACUUUUCAUCACAUGGAAAAUUUGAUAAGCUAUCUGCCGAUUUAAGAUUCGCCCAAAUCCGAUACCCG